This 450-nucleotide ribosomal RNA is filed under the name Neisseria meningitidis. Its description in RNAcentral is "bacterial SSU rRNA". It matches the Rfam family "Bacterial small subunit ribosomal RNA", at positions 30 to 468 of the family's 1533-position model. Lineage: Bacteria; Pseudomonadati; Pseudomonadota; Betaproteobacteria; Neisseriales; Neisseriaceae. The record is from RNAcentral.
AUUGAACGCUGGCGGCAUGCUUUACACAUGCAAGUCGGACGGCAGCACAGAGAAGCUUGCUUCUUGGGUGGCGAGUGGCGAACGGGUGAGUAACAUAUCGGAACGUACCGAGUAGUGGGGGAUAACUGAUCGAAAGAUCAGCUAAUACCGCAUACGUCUUGAGAGGGAAAGCAGGGGACCUUCGGGCCUUGCGCUAUUCGAGCGGCCGAUAUCUGAUUAGCUAGUUGGUGGGGUAAAGGCCUACCAAGGCGACGAUCAGUAGCGGGUCUGAGAGGAUGAUCCGCCACACUGGGACUGAGACACGGCCCAGACUCCUACGGGAGGCAGCAGUGGGGAAUUUUGGACAAUGGGCGCAAGCCUGAUCCAGCCAUGCCGCGUGUCUGAAGAAGGCCUUCGGGUUGUAAAGGACUUUUGUCAGGGAAGAAAAGGCUGUUGCUAAUAUCAUCAGCU